GUAUUGUGCAUCGCAGGAGAGAGGCGUUUGAUCUAGCGUUGGAAACAGGAACUAAAUGUAAACAUGCCAAACGCCUGCAACCCGUGGGAAAUCAGCCCUGUGAGGAUGUGGCAGGACACAUUCAGAAUAGGAUGUAUCACACGCUUCAAUGGGCCUACUACCGUAAGAGGUACAUUACUGCACAGGCUAGGCUACUGACCCAGACGGCAUCCCUAGCCGCGUCCUCAGAGCAUGUGUGUUUACGGACAUCUUCAAUCAAUCCCUAUCCCAGUCUGCUGUUCCCACAUGCUUCAAGAGGGCCACCAUUGUUCCUGUUCCCAAGAAAGCUAUGGUAACUGAACUAAAUGACUAUCGCCCUGUAGAACUCACUUCUGUCAUCAUGAAGUGCUUUGAGAGAUUAGUCAAGGAUCAUAUCACCUCCACCCUAGCUGUUACCCUAGACCCACUCCAAUUUGCUUACCACCCAAAUAGGUCCACAGACGAUGCAAAUUCCAUCGCACUUCCCUAUCCCAUCUGGACAAGAGGAAUACCUAUGUAAGAAUGCUGUUCAUUGACUACAGCUCAGCAUUCAACCCCAUAGUACCCUCCAAACUCAUCAUUAAGCUUGAGACCCUGGGUCUCGACCCCACCCUAUGCAACUGGGUCCUGGACUUCCUGACGUGCCGCCCCCAAGUGGCAGGAAACAACAUCUACACUCUGCUGAUCCUCAACACUGGAGCCACACAAGAGUGCAUUCUCAGCCCUCUCCUGUUCUCCCUGUUCACCAACGACUGCGUGGCCAUGCACACCUCCAACUCAAUCAUCAAGUUUGCAGACGACACUACAGUGGUAGGAUUGAUUACCAACAACGACGAGACAGCCGACAGGGAGUGUGGUGUCAGGAAAGUAACCUCUCACUCAAUGUCAGCAAGACAAAAGAGAUGAUCGUAGACUUCAGGAAACAGCAAAGAGAGUACCCCCCUAUCCACAUCGAUGGGACAGCAGUAAUAAUGCCACUUUAAGAAUGUUUACAUAUCUCACAUUACUCAUUUCAUAUGUAUACCGUAUGCUGUAUCCUUCACUAUCUAUUCUUUACUAUCUAUUGCAUCUUAUCCACUCUGUCACUGC
Molecule: long non-coding RNA, 1107 nt
Organism: Oncorhynchus tshawytscha (Chinook salmon)
Lineage: Eukaryota; Metazoa; Chordata; Actinopteri; Salmoniformes; Salmonidae
Source: Ensembl